This 115-nucleotide ribosomal RNA is filed under the name uncultured bacterium. RNAcentral's name for it is "partial 16S ribosomal RNA". It matches the Rfam family "Bacterial small subunit ribosomal RNA", at positions 1355 to 1482 of the family's 1533-position model. The record is from RNAcentral.
UACCACGUUGAAUACGUUCCCGGGUCUUGUACACACCGCCCGUCACGUCAUGAAAGUCGGGGCACCCGAAGUGCCUGUUUAACCAGGCCCUAAGGUGAACUCGGUAAUUGGGACG